GCCUCCUUCACUUGGAUAGUGUCAAGCUUGGUAAAAAAAGAUUCGUAGACGAGCAGAGAAGAUAGGCGUUGUAUUCAAGGCGCACUCUACUAAUUUGAACAGAGCUGUUGUCAUUCAUCCAACUGUGUCAUGAUGAAAGCUUCGACAUUAGUUUUGUUGCUCUUGGUAGUAACUUUGCUCUCAUCUGUAAGAUUUUCUUUUGGAUACCCGAAGAUAUUUAAAAAGAUACCAGCGAACGGAAAGUCCCCAUUGCAAUCGCGGAGUGUGUCCUCCGAUCAAGAUAAACAUGCCGUCGAACAACCCACUGACCUACCUUGCGUCGACGAACAAGACAGAUACCACUGUUUUUACGACAUAGUGAUGGCAGAUGCGUGUGAAACAAAAGUGGAGGAGAUGUGGAAAAAUUGCAGAUACUCUUGCAGUUAUUGCUAGGUGAACUCACGAACACACGACUCUCUUGCUAGCUUGCCAUUAGAGAUACUAUCAAAACAGCCAUCGGAAUCGCUAUAUUUAUAAAUAAUUGGAAAGAAGUAAAGAGUAAACUUGUUAAAUUAAUCAGCUGGCGUAUACAUCUUUGAAUUUAAAUAUAUCAUUCAUCUGAAA
Stylophora pistillata is the source of this 603-nucleotide long non-coding RNA. The record is from RefSeq and is a predicted model, not a curated record. NCBI's taxonomy places the organism in Eukaryota, Metazoa, Cnidaria, Anthozoa, Scleractinia, Pocilloporidae.